Molecule: non-coding RNA, 20 nt
Filed under: Arabidopsis thaliana (thale cress)
Lineage: Eukaryota; Viridiplantae; Streptophyta; Magnoliopsida; Brassicales; Brassicaceae
Source: RNAcentral
ACGACAUUCAACAUUUCCGC